This 248-nucleotide ribosomal RNA is filed under the name uncultured bacterium. RNAcentral describes it as "partial 16S ribosomal RNA". It matches the Rfam family "Bacterial small subunit ribosomal RNA", at positions 524 to 768 of the family's 1533-position model. The record is from RNAcentral.
UACGGGGGGGAGCAAGCGUUGUUCGGAUUUACUGGGCGUAAAGGGCGCGUAGGCGGCACCGCAAGUCGACUGUGAAAUCUCCGGGCUUAACCCGGAAAGGUCAGCCGAUACUGCGGGGCUAGAGUGCAGAAGGGGCAACUGGAAUUCUCGGUGUAGCGGUGAAAAUGCGUAGAGAUCGGGAGGAAUACCGGUGGCGAAAAGCGACUCUCUGGACGGCAACUGACGCUGAGGCACGAAAGCGUGGGGAG